Molecule: non-coding RNA, 568 nt
Organism: Pelobates cultripes (western spadefoot toad)
Lineage: Eukaryota; Metazoa; Chordata; Amphibia; Anura; Pelobatidae
Source: the annotation of a GenBank genome assembly
CUGGUGGUCCGGUGGUGGUAAGUAUGCAGGACAGGAUGACAGGUCCUGCAGCUCUCCUGCCCUCCUGCGUGAUGCUGUGACGAGCGUUUCCAUGGUAACACGCGGCAACAAUCCACACAGCUCGAGGGAAGACACGAGAGCUGCUUCCUCGAUCCCUCCCCCUGUCCUCCCGACCCGGAAGCAGAGUAGGCGCCUGCCGUUCUCAGUGAGCAGUUCAGAGGUUUUGCUAGGAUGUAUUUAAACUAUGAGGGGGGGGAUCUUGAGGAGCCAACUUGUAAAGAGGCCAUACUAGAUUUAGUGUUAACAAAUGGAGAUUUGGUAUCAGAUAUUACUGUAGGUGAAAGUUUAGAAUCCAGUGAUCAUCAGUCAGUGUGGUUUAAUAUAAGAACAGUGACUAAAUCACACCACACAAAAACAAAAGUUUUAGACUUUAGAAAAACAGACUUUUCUAAAAUUAGAAUAUGUGUAGAGAAGUGAUUAUCAGACUGGAGCAAUUUAAAUGGAGUCCAAGAGAAAUGGGAUUAUUUAAAAGCUGCACUAUUAAAGGCAACAGAAAAUUGCAUUAGGC